AUUGGCUGAGUGCCCGCAAUGUGCCAGCUAUUGAGCUAAACUUGGGAUGCUAGAAAAGACAAUCCCUUUUCUGGAUUAGGAAGUUUACAUUUUAAAGAUGCAAGAAGGCACUAAACAAGGGCAGUGAGGUACAACAAGCUCUGUGGUUUUAUUUCUCCUAAAUGGGAGGAAACAUAGAGAGGAAGAAAAGUAUGCAAUCUCAGUUGCAAAUGGAGGCAGGGGCUCACCAUGUUCUCUGAUACGAUUGUACCGCCCAUUGGUAAGAAUCAGAGGCUGAAAAGAUUCUGUUACUGAAACUCAACACUUAGUUGAUACCUGCUACAACUUUAACUACUCGUUGACUGUUUACGGCUUUUGCUGUAAGUUGGAGUAUGGUGACAAACACACAAGAGUCUAAAAACUCAAACGUAUCUAAAAGCCAUGACACAGAAGGCCUGGAGACUGCAUGGAAUGAUGAGGACUGCAGUGAACUCUGAAGUGCCUACCCAUGUGAAACGAACAAGUGCUAUUCGGAAGAAGCAGGUUGUGUUAAUGUAGGUGUCCAAGCCUAGAAUCAUGAAAUUAUAUUUUUAAGAGAAAAA
Long non-coding RNA from Homo sapiens (human), 581 nucleotides. Lineage: Eukaryota; Metazoa; Chordata; Mammalia; Primates; Hominidae. The record is from Ensembl.